Molecule: ribosomal RNA, 600 nt
Filed under: Triticum aestivum (bread wheat)
Lineage: Eukaryota; Viridiplantae; Streptophyta; Magnoliopsida; Poales; Poaceae
Description: partial small subunit ribosomal RNA
Source: RNAcentral
AUGGUCCAUAAAGAGAACAAGUGCUGGUGUGUGUUCCGAUCCAGUAAAUUUUCUUCAUGUGCCACACAAGUGGAGACGACUCUACUUUUUUACCAUGAUCUUGAGAGUUAUGAACUUUAUGACAAUAAUGACUCUCAAGUUCAACAAGAGCUCGUACAAAAGAUAUGGAAAGUGUUUAAGACUAUACUAGAAGAGACUGGCAAAUUAAGGGAAGAAACCAAGGAAGGCAUUUCUAUAGCUAAGUCCAUUGCCAUGGAGCUUCUAUGGUUGGUUCAUAUGUGGUUAUCGAAGCAGGAUAAGUUCUUGAGGAGGACUCUAAUUGCUAUGGACCACAAGAUUUCAUAUGUCGCUCCCUAUUGCGUAUUGCUGUUGACAUUGGACUUGCUAUCCAGUAAGAGGGACAUUGGGAUCAUUGUUCAUCUAGAGAAGUCAGUGCUAUAUCUACGUCAGAAUAUUGGGAUGUUAAUGAUUGGAGAAUAUCCAGAGUGCGCCGCCUGUUACUUCGAAUCUCUAGGUUUCGCGGAUCAUCAGCAAGGAUGGCGGAUGCAAGGAAGAAGUUCACGCAACCGGAAGAAGAUACACCCUUUGGACGUCAUCUAA